Molecule: ribosomal RNA, 1437 nt
Filed under: Shigella sonnei
Lineage: Bacteria; Pseudomonadati; Pseudomonadota; Gammaproteobacteria; Enterobacterales; Enterobacteriaceae
Description: partial 23S ribosomal RNA
Rfam family: Bacterial large subunit ribosomal RNA
Source: RNAcentral
CUGGUUUUCCAGGCAAAUCCGGAAAAUCAAGGCUGAGGCGUGAUGACGAGGCACUACGGUGCUGAAGCAACAAAUGCCCUGCUUCCAGGAAAAGCCUCUAAGCAUCAGGUAACAUCAAAUCGUACCCCAAACCGACACAGGUGGUCAGGUAGAGAAUACCAAGGCGCUUGAGAGAACUCGGGUGAAGGAACUAGGCAAAAUGGUGCCGUAACUUCGGGAGAAGGCACGCUGAUAUGUAGGUGAAGUCCCUUGCGGAUGGAGCUGAAAUCAGUCGAAGAUACCAGCUGGCUGCAACUGUUUAUUAAAAACACAGCACUGUGCAAACACGAAAGUGGACGUAUACGGUGUGACGCCUGCCCGGUGCCGGAAGGUUAAUUGAUGGGGUCAGCGCAAGCGAAGCUCUUGAUCGAAGCCCCGGUAAACGGCGGCCGUAACUAUAACGGUCCUAAGGUAGCGAAAUUCCUUGUCGGGUAAGUUCCGACCUGCACGAAUGGCGUAAUGAUGGCCAGGCUGUCUCCACCCGAGACUCAGUGAAAUUGAACUCGCUGUGAAGAUGCAGUGUACCCGCGGCAAGACGGAAAGACCCCGUGAACCUUUACUAUAGCUUGACACUGAACAUUGAGCCUUGAUGUGUAGGAUAGGUGGGAGGCUUUGAAGUGUGGACGCCAGUCUGCAUGGAGCCGGCCUUGAAAUACCACCCUUUAAUGUUUGAUGUUCUAACGUGGACCCGUGAUCCGGGUUGCGGACAGUGUCUGGUGGGUAGUUUGACUGGGGCGGUCUCCUCCUAAAGAGUAACGGAGGAGCACGAAGGUUGGCUAAUCCUGGUCGGACAUCAGGAGGUUAGUGCAAUGGCAUAAGCCAGCUUGACUGCGAGCGUGACGGCGCGAGCAGGUGCGAAAGCAGGUCAUAGUGAUCCGGUGGUUCUGAAUGGAAGGGCCAUCGCUCAACGGAUAAAAGGUACUCCGGGGAUAACAGGCUGAUACCGCCCAAGAGUUCAUAUCGACGGCGGUGUUUGGCACCUCGAUGUCGGCUCAUCACAUCCUGGGGCUGAAGUAGGUCCCAAGGGUAUGGCUGUUCGCCAUUUAAAGUGGUACGCGAGCUGGGUUUAGAACGUCGUGAGACAGUUCGGUCCCUAUCUGCCGUGGGCGCUGGAGAACUGAGGGGGGCUGCUCCUAGUACGAGAGGACCGGAGUGGACGCAUCACUGGUGUUCGGGUUGUCAUGCCAAUGGCACUGCCCGGUAGCUAAAUGCGGAAGAGAUAAGUGCUGAAAGCAUCUAAGCACGAAACUUGCCCCGAGAUGAGUUCUCCCUGACCCUUUAAGGGUCCUGAAGGAACGUUGAAGACGACGACGUUGAUAGGCCGGGUGUGUAAGCGCAGCGAUGCGUUGAGCUAACCGGUACUAAUGAACCGUGAGGCUUAACCUUACAACGCCGAAG